CUUCCAGUAGCACCUUAAAGACCAACUAAGUUUAUUCAUGCAUGGUAUCUGAAGUAGUGUACAUGCACACGAAAGCUCAUACCAAUAACAAACUUAGUUGGCCUUUAAGGUGCUACUGGAAG
Molecule: non-coding RNA, 122 nt
Organism: Podarcis lilfordi (Lilford's wall lizard)
Lineage: Eukaryota; Metazoa; Chordata; Lepidosauria; Squamata; Lacertidae
Source: the annotation of a GenBank genome assembly